GAAAAUGUUUGGAUGAUAUGGUUGUAUUCUUAGCUUAUCAUAUUUACUUCAAAAACAAAGGUGGUUUAGUUAAUCAAAUUGGUGAAUUGACAAAAAAAGAGCACAUGGAAACUACUGGAACUCGCUUUGUUAAUCAGAGACCAAACAUGACUGCAGAGCAGAUGGCCAUUCAAGACAAAGCAU
This is a long non-coding RNA of Papaver somniferum (opium poppy), 183 nucleotides long. RefSeq lists it as uncharacterized. The transcript is spliced from 2 exons. NCBI's taxonomy places the organism in Eukaryota, Viridiplantae, Streptophyta, Magnoliopsida, Ranunculales, Papaveraceae. The record is from RefSeq and is a predicted model, not a curated record.